Molecule: ribosomal RNA, 555 nt
Filed under: uncultured Glomus
Lineage: Eukaryota; Fungi; Glomeromycota; Glomeromycetes; Glomerales; Glomeraceae
Description: eukaryotic LSU rRNA
Rfam family: Eukaryotic large subunit ribosomal RNA
Source: RNAcentral
AGAGGAUGCUUCUGGCGCGGUCCCUUCCGAGUUCCCUGGAACGGGACGCCGGAGAGGGUGAGAGCCCCGUACGGAUGGACGCCAAGCCUCUGUGAAGCUCCUUCGACGAGUCGAGUAGUUUGGGAAUGCAGCUCCAAAUGGGUGGUAAACAUCACCUAAGGCUAAAUAUUGGCGAGAGACCGAUAGCGGACAAGUACCGUGAGGGAAAGAUGAAAAGAACUUUGAAAAGAGAGUUAAACAGUACGUGAAAUUGUUGAAAGGGAAACGAUUGAAGUCAGUCGUGCUGGCGCGAAAUCAACCAUCUCGUCUUGAGGUCGCAUGGCGCGACGAGCCUCAAAACCGUCACGAAGUGUGAACUCUUGACGAAAAGGUGCACUUUCGUGUCCGCUGGUUAACAUCAAUUUCGACCGUCAUAAAAGGGCUGGAGGGAUGUGGCUCCUUCGGGAGUGUUAUAACCUUUAGCGGAAUGUGGUGUUCGGGAUUGAGGAUUGCAACGAAUACCUUCAGGGCUGUUCCACCUGGCUUCUCAUUGGUAUCCUGGUGACGACAGCUUGC